RNAcentral lists this transfer RNA (71 nucleotides) under Danionella translucida. It matches the Rfam family "tRNA". From Rfam's summary of the family: Transfer RNA (tRNA) molecules are approximately 80 nucleotides in length. RNAcentral also lists the same sequence under 1 other name. The record is from Rfam by way of RNAcentral. Lineage: Eukaryota; Metazoa; Chordata; Actinopteri; Cypriniformes; Danionidae.
GGCUAGUUGGUCUAGGGGUUUGAUUCUCGCUUAGGGUGCGGGAGGUCCUGGUUCAAAUCCAGGAUGAGCCC